CGCAGAAUUUCUGCCGGGGCCUGGGGGGGCUGUCGGAGCUGACGCUCUGGAAGAAGGCUCCGGCGGUGGACAUGCUGAUGGAGGGAUGGAGGGAGGCUCCGCUUCUGCUGCUGCUUCUGUCGGCUCAGCGCGCCUGCUGCUGUUAAACUCUGCAUUCGUGUGACUGAAUGCUGAGGAGGUGAAGUCUCCUGAACCAGACGGAUGGAGAAGGAGCCAGCCACCACCCUGAAACCAUCAGAAGCUGCAUCAGCUGCAGUGGGAGGAGCCAGAGUCUCGGAGCAUGGGGAUUGGACGGGAACAGGUGUUCUGAGCUUCCAUAAAAAGACGAGGGAGGAGAGCAGGAAGUGCUGCACUGAGGUGAUGGGGGAAUAAUUCAUGAAGAUUAGAUACAUUUACAGACAAACGUUAUGCACUCAGGCUGUUUGGGUUUGUUGGAACUGCUCUGUCAUGAUGGAAAAAAUCCUGUAACCAAAUGCUUCAGUUUUACUAUCUGACGAUAAAAAUGACAACUACAAAAACUUUUGGUCAUAAUAAAAAAAAAUCCUGAUAUUCUGAAAACUCUUAAUAAAGGACAACAGGUAUAGAUGGAG
Molecule: long non-coding RNA, 590 nt
Organism: Oryzias melastigma (Indian medaka)
Lineage: Eukaryota; Metazoa; Chordata; Actinopteri; Beloniformes; Adrianichthyidae
Exons: 2
Source: RefSeq, a predicted model, not a curated record